RNAcentral lists this transfer RNA (76 nucleotides) under Alphaproteobacteria bacterium. Its description in RNAcentral is "tRNA-Ala". It matches the Rfam family "tRNA". Rfam says of the family: Transfer RNA (tRNA) molecules are approximately 80 nucleotides in length. The record is from RNAcentral. Lineage: Bacteria; Pseudomonadati; Pseudomonadota; Alphaproteobacteria. RNAcentral also lists the same sequence under 4 other names.
GGGGCCGUAGCUCAGUUGGGAGAGCGCUUGAAUGGCAUUCAAGAGGUCGUCGGUUCGAUCCCGUCCGGCUCCACCA